AUUGAACGCUGGCGGCAGGCUUAACACAUGCAAGUCGAGCGGGGGAAGGUAGCUUGCUACUGGACCUAGCGGCGGACGGGUGAGUAAUGCUUAGGAAUCUGCCUAUUAGUGGGGAACAACAUCUCGAAAGGGAUGCUAAUACCGCAUACGUCCUACGGGAGAAAGCAGGGGAUCUUCGGACCUUGCGCUAAUAGAUGAGCCUAAGUCGGAUUAGCUAGUUGGUGGGGUAAAGGCCUACCAAGGCGACGAUCUGUAGCGGGUCUGAGAGGAUGGUCCGCCACACGGGGACUGAGACACGGCCCAGACUCCUACGGGAGGCAGCAGUGGGGAAUAUUGGACAAUGGGGGGAACCCUGAUCCAGCCAUGCCGCGUGUGUGAAGAAGGCCUUAUGGUUGUAAAGCACUUUAAGCGAGGAGGAGGCUACUCUAGUUAAUACCUAGGGAUAGUGGACGUUACUCGCAGAAUAAGCACCGGCUAACUCUGUGCCAGCCGCCGCGGUAA
This 501-nucleotide ribosomal RNA is filed under the name uncultured bacterium. RNAcentral describes it as "partial 16S ribosomal RNA". It matches the Rfam family "Bacterial small subunit ribosomal RNA", at positions 30 to 523 of the family's 1533-position model. The record is from RNAcentral.